UGAAAAGUGAUUUUUCUUUACAAAAAAUUUAGGAAAACGUUCUUGAACGUAUGAUAUCUUGUGAAUUGGUAUUUUUUCCAAAUUUAGGAAUGACUUCAUAAAUGUUUAAAUAGAGUUUUUGAAUGUAACUUGUAUGUAGAUUUAGGAAGUUAUUCGUAAAUGUUUAUAACAACUUCAUGAAUUUGAUUUAUAUGCGUAUUCAGGAAAAUAUUACUCAAUAUAUAAUAAUUUUUAAAAAUUAUGAAGAUGAUUUGAAAUAAGUAUAAUAUGUUUAUAAAAAUUUUGAUAUCAAACUCCAAAUGUCUCCCGAAAACUUUGGAAAAAUAUAAUCGAAGUGACAUGUUGUCAAAUAUUUUUAUAAUAAUGACAUUAAAUAUAAUAUUUUAAACUUACUAAAGAUACUUUUGUAAUUAAAACUGACUCUCAAAUAAUGUCAUGUGACCCCCAAGGCUCCUCAAGAGAAUAGCCGCAUAAGGCAUAAUCUUCAAUAUUUGCUUUGAGUGGAAUCAACGUCUCCACAACGGCGAUGCAACAACGCCAGCCCCGAUCUUAAAAUCAUUGACUGAUUCAUUAGGGAUAGUUUUCAACCCCUAAUGCAAUCUUGGCUAAAGUAUGAGUGAUUAAUACUCUUAAAGUUCAUUCCUCUAGGCUUUUUCUUUUCUUUUUGCCAAGCUAUACUAUAUACACUAUAGAUAGACUAACAACUUUUAUAUUACAUACAAACUCUUUUCAUAUUUAUAUAAUAUUCACAUCUUUGGCAAAAAGAAAGAUUACAAACAAGGUACAAAAAGAUUUCUAAGAUUUUGCUUGCAAUUGUAUAAACAUAUUCAGAUUUAGCUACAAACUUGACAACUUAGGAAGGUUACUGAACUCUUAAUGUACCUAACUGAAAGAGAAGAAGUGAAAUAUAAUACAUCUGCAUCGAGGAAGGUUAGACAAUAUUGACUCUAAGUUCCGGACAUGAAUGGCUUCUCUUAUAGACGGCCUUGAGUUUCUAUCAGGACGGCCACACCAUAACCCAACUAUAGCAGCAAACAUUUAGCUUGUUGACUAUGAAAAUCCUCACCGAGAUUUCUCGUCAAUGGGUGAGACAAGUUGCAAAGUUUUCGAAGCAGAACACCAAAGCAGAGACACCACCUAAAACUGAUAUCUGGACACCGAGCAAAUAGAUAUACCAAUUUUCACUCAAAAUAUGGAUCUUGAACAUUUGAUUCAGUUCAAACACAAAAACAGUAAUCAAUAAACACUACAAGAAUUCAUCAAAUUAGCUACGGAUUGGCAAAGACGUUUCCGUAGCUAAAUGUAUUAGCUACAAAAAUAGUGACAGAAUAUAUAAUUUCAUUUUUGUUGCUAAAUUUGUAACUAACUUUAGCAAUCCGUAGCUAUAUAGCUAGAGAUAAAUUCUGUCGGUCUCUGUAACUAGAUAGCGACGUCUUGGCUAGAGAUAAAUUGUCUCCAUAAUUAUUAUACUUAUCAAUGGAUAACAUACGUACCAUAACCAAUCCCCAAAACUUAAAACUUAAACUCCAAAUCCCUAAUUUUAUAUACGUUAACCUAAAUUUACAAAUUUUGUGUGUAUCAUCAUCAACCCCUAAAACGUAAACUUCAAACCCAAACUCCAUACACUUUAAACUUAACCUACAAGUGUAUGUAUAUGAGCACCAAUCCCUAAACCUUAAAACACAAAACCCAAAUUCUAUACACUCGACCUAAAACCUACAAACAUACACCAAAGUCAUAUGUAUAUAAUUUAUUAGAAUGUAGCUUUAUAUAUAAUUUAUUAAAAUAUGCUAUAGGUCUGUCUAGUAAACAUUAUUACUCUAAUAUACAACUAAAGACUUAUAGUUUUAAAAAUUCCUUUUGAAAUUCAAAUUCAUAACUUGUAUUUAAAUCUUAAACCCUAAACACUAAUUAUAAACUCUAAAUCUUAAUGGCAAAAAAAUUUAAGUUUAAUCUCAAUUCUUAAUCUCCAACUUUUAAUUUCAAACCCCAAACUCCAAAACAAUAACAUAUAAACUAGUUGAUAACCAAUGAAUAUCUUAUCAGCUAAUCUACAUUCACUUAAACAAUUUAAGACGCUUGGAUGAGAUUUGAUCCAAGAGAUGAAAUUAAUUCUUUUUUUUAUCUCAUUUCUCUUCCUUCGAUAGAUUCUCUUUCUCUCUUUCUAUUGGUCAAUUUGUUCCUUUCUCUCUUUCUAUUGGUCAAUCCAUUAGUUGAUGGAUUACAAAUACUAACCGUUGAUAAAAAAUAAUCAGACGGUUCUGGUUAGUUUGUUCCUUCCUUUCUCUCGCUCACAUGUUUCAUCUCUUUCUUCUUACUCUUUCUCUCGCUCAGAUGUAAUUCUCUGUACCUUCUUCUGAUAAUUAAUAAUCUGUCUUUCUUCUUCAUUUAUGGAUUUAUUAUUUAGCAUCACAGUUGUUCCGUAGGACGAGGCUUCGAUGGUUCAGCUCGCUGGAGAUGAAUAAAGGGGGAACUUCUUAUCCUCUCUCUGCCAUUAACCUCGCCGGAAGGGUUUUCGUGAGCAGAGUUGGUGGUCGUGAGCUUGAACACAGAGGAGGUACGGCGUGGUGGUGGUGGUGCUAGCCGCCUCUGCUUACCGGAAAGUGAAGACAAAGCUUCAUGGUGGUGCGGCGGAUGAUGACAAAGACGUUUAGAUUUAGAUUUAGGUUUAGGUUUAAUUUUUUCUCGGUUUAGUGAUUUUUUUGCUUCGGUUUAGUUCUGUAAACCAAUUUCAGUAUAUAAAUAAAUUUUAAUUUUAUAAUUCAA
This is a long non-coding RNA of Brassica napus (rape), 2766 nucleotides long. RefSeq lists it as uncharacterized. The record is from RefSeq and is a predicted model, not a curated record. The transcript has 2 exons. NCBI's taxonomy places the organism in Eukaryota, Viridiplantae, Streptophyta, Magnoliopsida, Brassicales, Brassicaceae.